CAGUAGCCACGGGAAUACCAGCAGCCCAAGUGGUGGUCGCGCUUAUUGGGCCUAAAGCGCUCGUAGCCUGGCCGGUAAGUUCCCCGUGAAAUCGGGUCGCCCAACGAUUCGGCUUGCGGGGAAUACUGUCGGUCUUGGGGCCGGGAGACGCCGAGGGUACUCCGGGGGUAGCGGUGAAAUGCUGUAAUCCUCGGGGGACUACCAGUGGCGAAGGCGCUCGGCGAUAACGGGCCUGACGGUGAGGGGCGAAAGCUGGGGGCGCGAACGGGAUUAGAUACCCCUGUAGUCCCUGUCUCUUAUA
Molecule: ribosomal RNA, 301 nt
Filed under: uncultured bacterium
Lineage: Bacteria
Description: partial 16S ribosomal RNA
Rfam family: Archaeal small subunit ribosomal RNA
Source: RNAcentral